UUAGAGGUUCGAAGGCGAUCAGAUACCGCCCUAGUUCUAACCAUAAACGAUGCCAGCCAGCGAUCCGCCGAAGUUCCUCCGAUGACUCGGCGGGCAGCUUCCGGGAAACCAAAGCUUUUGGGUUCCGGGGGAAGUAUGGUUGCAAAGCUGAAACUUAAAGGAAUUGACGGAAGGGCACCACCAGGAGUGGAGCCUGCGGCUUAAUUUGACUCAACACGGGAAACCUCACCAGGCCCGGACACCGGAAGGAUUGACAGAUUGAGAGCUCUUUCUUGAUUCGGUGGGUGGUGGUGCAUGGCCGUUCUUAGUUGGUGGAGCGAUUUGUCUGGUUAAUUCCGGUAACGAACGAGACUCUAGCCUGCUAAAUAGACGAUUUCCGGUAUCCACAAUAGUGCUACCGGCGAAAUCAAUAUCUUCUUAGAGGGACAGGCGGCUUUCAGCCGCACGAAACUGAGCAAUAACAGGUCUGUGAUGCCCUUAGAUGUCCUGGGCCGCACGCGCGCUACACUGAAGGAAUCAGCGUGUACACCCUGGCCGAAAGGCUCGGGCAACCCGUUGAACCUCCUUCGUGCUAGGGAUUGGGGCUUGCAAUUGUUCCCCAUGAACGAGGAAUUCCCAGUAAGCGCGAGUCAUAAGCUCGCGUUGAUUACGUCCCUGCCCUUUGUACACACCGCCCGUCGCUACUACCGAUUGAAUGAUUUAGUGAGGUCUUCGGACUGGUGCGCGGUGGCCGCCUGCGCGGCCGUCGAUGCCACCGGGAAGAUGACCGAACUUGAUCAUUUAGAGGAAGUAAAAGUCGUA
RNAcentral lists this ribosomal RNA (801 nucleotides) under Lacetas sp. 05.GH.AA.SHR.02. RNAcentral's name for it is "SSU rRNA". It matches the Rfam family "Eukaryotic small subunit ribosomal RNA", at positions 990 to 1793 of the family's 1831-position model. Lineage: Eukaryota; Metazoa; Arthropoda; Insecta; Hemiptera; Cicadidae. The record is from RNAcentral.